RNAcentral lists this long non-coding RNA (391 nucleotides) under Manihot esculenta (cassava). RNAcentral's name for it is "long non-coding RNA (MESC_LNC010816)". Lineage: Eukaryota; Viridiplantae; Streptophyta; Magnoliopsida; Malpighiales; Euphorbiaceae. The record is from RNAcentral.
ACGAGCAGCUUGCAGACUGUAUUUUUAAUUUGUGGGAUUACUGUUCCUAUAGCUGAAUGCUUACCCGGUCUUGUUAGAAUAUCCGUUGUUUGCCUUGGAGCUCUUCAAUCAGACGUAGUUGCUCUUGCUUAUUGGGAAUUACCGCUGCACGUAACCGGCGUGGGAGUAUGAGAAUGCGCUUUUAUCAAUACAGGGACGUGAGAGGAAUUCCUUGAAGGUAGUACUCAAGGGAUGGGGAAAAGGGAGAUAUCGCUAACUGGGGAGGGAGAAGAUUUAUGGUCGUUGGGGAGAAAAAUGAGACGUCGCCGGUGUCGGGGCUGCCGGCAGUGAAGUGGGGGAGAGAGCCGAUUGGGAAUUGGGGGAGAGAGGAGCCGACAGAGAGAGGGAAGUG